GCCUGGGUGGCUCAGUCGGUUAAGCAUCUGACUUCAGCUUAGGUCAUGAUCCCACUGUUCGUGGGUUUGAGCCCCACAUCAGGCU
Molecule: transfer RNA, 85 nt
Filed under: Felis catus (domestic cat)
Lineage: Eukaryota; Metazoa; Chordata; Mammalia; Carnivora; Felidae
Rfam family: tRNA
About the family: Transfer RNA (tRNA) molecules are approximately 80 nucleotides in length. Their secondary structure includes four short double-helical elements and three loops (D, anti-codon, and T loops).
Source: Rfam by way of RNAcentral